Long non-coding RNA from Prionailurus viverrinus (fishing cat), 474 nucleotides. RefSeq lists it as uncharacterized. NCBI's taxonomy places the organism in Eukaryota, Metazoa, Chordata, Mammalia, Carnivora, Felidae. The transcript is spliced from 3 exons. The record is from RefSeq and is a predicted model, not a curated record.
GUUCCAUGUGAUGAGCAACAGAGGUUUCCUGCUAACAGCCACAUCAGGCCUUCAGAUGACCACAGCUCUGGCCAACAUCUGGGUUGCAACCUACGAGAGACACUGAGCCAGAGCCAUGCAGUCUAGGCUGCAGGGAGCAAGUGAAAGCAAGGAGACCAGUGGGGAGCCCAUGGAUGCCAUGCGGAUGAGAGGCUUUCUCUUGCUGUCUGUUCCAUCACUUGAUCUGGGGGAAGCCUGCUACUGGCAUGACACGAAGACAGUCAGGCAGCCCUAUGGAGAGACCUAGGUGGUGAGGAACUGAGUUCUUCUGCCAAAGAAGAACCAUGUGAAGGCACCACUGGAAGCCAUCCUCUGGUCCCAGUCAAGCUUUCAGAUAACUGCAGCUUUCCUUGACGUCUUGACUACAACCCGGAGAGACUGUGAGCCAGAGCCACCAGUAAGAAGCUCCAGAAUGUGGGACCCACAGCAACCGAG